GACAGAGGUGCCGAGCGUAGGCGGAAUCACUGGGCUUAAAGCGUGUGUAGGCGGAUGCCUAAGUACCUUGUGAAAUCCCACGGCUCAACCGUGGAACUGCUUGGUAUACUGGGUGUCUUGAGCUAUCUAGGGGCAACUGGAACAAACGGUGGAGCGGUGAAAUGCGUAGAUAUCGUUUGGAACGCCAAUGGUGAAAACAGGUUGCUGGGGAUAUGCUGACGCUGAGACACGGAAAGCCAGGGGAGCAAACGGG
RNAcentral lists this ribosomal RNA (253 nucleotides) under uncultured bacterium. RNAcentral's name for it is "partial 16S ribosomal RNA". It matches the Rfam family "Bacterial small subunit ribosomal RNA", at positions 524 to 776 of the family's 1533-position model. The record is from RNAcentral.